RNAcentral lists this ribosomal RNA (815 nucleotides) under Cortinarius sp. RNAcentral describes it as "eukaryotic LSU rRNA". It matches the Rfam family "Eukaryotic large subunit ribosomal RNA", at positions 126 to 930 of the family's 3401-position model. Lineage: Eukaryota; Fungi; Basidiomycota; Agaricomycetes; Agaricales; Cortinariaceae. The record is from RNAcentral.
CAUUUGGCUGUCCGAGUUGUAAUCUAGAGAAGUGCUAUYCGCGCUGGACCGUGUACAAGUCUCCUGGAAUGGAGCGUCAUAGAGGGUGAGAAUCCCGUCUUUGACACGGACUACCAGGGCUUUGUGAUGUGCUCUCAAAGAGUCGAGUUGUUUGGGAAUGCAGCUCAAAAUGGGUGGUAAAUUCCAUCUAAAGCUAAAUAUUGGCGAGAGACCGAUAGCGAACAAGUACCGUGAGGGAAAGAUGAAAAGAACUUUGGAAAGAGAGUUAAACAGUACGUGAAAUUGCUGAAAGGGAAACGCUUGAAGUCAGUCGCGUUGUCCAGGGAUCAACCUUGCUUUUGCUUGGUGCAUUUUCUGGUUGACGGGUCAGCAUCAAUUUUGACUGUUGGAAAAAGAUCUAGGGAAUGUGGCAUCUUUGGAUGUGUUAUAGCCCUUGGUUGCAUACAAUGGUUGGGAUUGAGGAACUCAGCACGCCGCAAGGCCGGGUUUUUAMCCMCDUACKUGCUUAGGAUGCUGGCAUAAUGGCUUUAAUCGACCCGUCUUGAAACACGGACCAAGGAGUCUAACAUGCCUGCGAGUGUUUGGGUGGAAAACUCGAGCGCGUAAUGAAAGUGAAAGUUGAGAUCCCUGUCGUAGGGAGCAUCGACGCCCAGACCAGACCUUUUGUGACGGAUCUGCGGUAGAGCAUGUAUGUUGGGACCCGAAAGAUGGUSAACUAUGCCUGAAUAGGGUGAAGCCAGAGGAAACUCUGGUGGAGGCUCUUAGCGAUUCUGACGUGCAAAUCGAUCGUCAAAUUUGGGUAUAGGGGCGAAAGA